This 74-nucleotide transfer RNA is filed under the name archaeon GW2011_AR20. Its description in RNAcentral is "tRNA-Pro". It matches the Rfam family "tRNA". From Rfam's summary of the family: Transfer RNA (tRNA) molecules are approximately 80 nucleotides in length. Their secondary structure includes four short double-helical elements and three loops (D, anti-codon, and T loops). The record is from RNAcentral. RNAcentral also lists the same sequence under 1 other name.
GGGGCUAUGGUCUAGCUUGGCUAUGAUAUACGCUUAGGGAGCGUAUGACCCCAGUUCAAAUCUGGGUAGCCCCA